RNAcentral lists this long non-coding RNA (1178 nucleotides) under Capsicum annuum. RNAcentral's name for it is "long non-coding RNA (CANN_LNC019678)". Lineage: Eukaryota; Viridiplantae; Streptophyta; Magnoliopsida; Solanales; Solanaceae. The record is from RNAcentral.
GCGCUGACAGCAUGUAACUUCAGUUGAGCUAAGAGAAAUGAGCUGAUCAGUUAAACAAAAGUCUUGAACAUUAGUUAUCUGUAGUUUAUUAGCAUGUGAGAAUUAUAUGAGAUAGUUAGAGGAGAGAGUGAAUCAGUUAUGAUGCUCUAUAAAAUGAGAUGAGGUGUAGUUAGAAGGAGUGCAAUUUUAUUUUCACAACAGCAUAAAAAUGCAGAAAUUCUCUCUCUGUAUUGUGGAGUAUUAGCUUGCUUGUUGUAGUUGGUUCAUGUACUGUGUGAAACUCAGAAUUUGAUAUGGUAUCGGAGCCUUAGGUCGUCGUAAAGAUCCAGAGAAAUCGAGCAGCUUCGACAAUGAUAGAAACACAAAGCACUGAGGAUCCAGUUGCAGAUCCAAAAUCAGAUCACAAUCAUCCGUUACAUUUGUAGGCAUCGGAUGCUCCAGGAGUAGCUCUAAUUCCUAUAAAAUUGAUAGGUUCAGAAAACUAUGGCCUUUGGAGUAGAUCUAUGCAUCUCGUACUAUUAGUAAAAAAACAAGCUUGGAUUUGUGGAUGUCACCUAUGCGAGAAGCUCAUAUAAGGGAUCAUUUUGGUAAAAUGAGAAAAAUAUGAUGCGGUGGUGCUUUAAUAGAUAAGUGCAGCUGUGGCACUGAAUUGUUGACGAGCAUAGUUUAUGUCUCUAGCUCUAAGAAGAUUUGGGAUGAUUUUAAAUAGAGGUUUGAUAAAUCAAAUUCGACUAGGAUUUUCUACUUGCGGAAAGAAAUUAGCAUGUUAACGCAAAAAACUAACACAGUGAUAGAGUAUUACCUGAAAGUGAGAGAUUUUGGGGAUGAAAUUGAUGUUAUGAUUCCAUCACCAUCUUAUAAAUGUGAGGAAUCAAUGCCUUAUGCUGAGCACAUUAAGCAACAGAGAUUGUUACAGUUUCUCAUUGGGCUAUAUGAAAGCUGAAUGUAGAUAAGAAGUUCUUAUCUUAUUGAAUGCAAUAGUUCCAAGUGUAAAUUAAAAAUAUGCAAUGACUGUGUAAGAGUAAACUUUGAGGAGAUUAGGAAUGACAGAAACAGGGAGAGAACCAAUGAUUAUGUAUGCAGGAAGGCAUUUAAAUGCUCAACAUCAUGGAAAUCAAGGAUCCAGUCAGGUGCAUGAGAAAUAUGCACACUUAUAGAAUCAAUCCUUUCAAGGAAAG